UCAAAUGAUUCUUUCUUGUUGUUACUCCCUUCCUCUAACAAUCAACCUUCAAUCAACCAACACUAUAUGCAGUCCUAUAACCAGUCCUACAAAAAGCACACAGAAAACAUUUCAAAUCUUUUCAAUGACAAAUCAAUUCAUUCAUAAGAAGAAGGAAACCCUAAGUAGAUAAAUGAUUGAAACCCGAAGUAGAGAAAUUAUAAAACCCUAACGAAAUUUAUUAAAACCAAAUAGAAAUCAUAAAUUGAAAAGGAAGUGAGGUUAACGAAAUCAAACAACAGUGGUGAGAAGCGGCGUGUUCACUAACUGAGAAGCUUGAAGCGCCGUGUUCACUAACAGAGAAGCUGCGUGUUCAGAUCUAAAACGGAGGAGCAGUUUGUGAGUUUGGAGUGAGACGGAGACGCGUACGGUUGUUUUCAGAGUGAGACGGAGGAGCGGUUUGUUUGGAGUGAGACGCGUACGGUUGUUUUCAGAUCUUUCUCUGUUC
This 487-nucleotide long non-coding RNA is filed under the name Trifolium pratense (red clover). Its description in RNAcentral is "long non-coding RNA (TPRA_LNC001024)". The record is from RNAcentral. Lineage: Eukaryota; Viridiplantae; Streptophyta; Magnoliopsida; Fabales; Fabaceae.